AGAGGAAACGUUUUUGCAAAGGAUGUUGAGCUGCAUGCUUUUGUCCCGAGACCACCUUUCAAACAGCAUAAGAAGAAGCACGGUCUGCUUUAUACCUCAACAUGAGAAAUCCAGUGGCAAAGUUGACAGCUUGACCUCCACACGUCCCUUGAUUUUCAACACAACUUACCCCGUAGUAUCAAAACUAGUAAUGGUUACAGAGAAACAACUGCUACUAGCGAAAAC
Populus euphratica (Euphrates poplar) is the source of this 225-nucleotide long non-coding RNA. RefSeq lists it as uncharacterized. The record is from RefSeq and is a predicted model, not a curated record. NCBI's taxonomy places the organism in Eukaryota, Viridiplantae, Streptophyta, Magnoliopsida, Malpighiales, Salicaceae. The transcript is spliced from 2 exons.